CGGCGACGGGUGAGUAACACGUGGAUAACCUACCUAUAAGACUGGGAUAACUUCGGGAAACCGGAGCUAAUACCGGAUAAUAUAUUGAACCGCAUGGUUCAAUAGUGAAAGACGGUUUUGCUGUCACUUAUAGAUGGAUCCGCGCCGCAUUAGCUAGUUGGUAAGGUAACGGCUUACCAAGGCAACGAUGCGUAGCCGACCUGAGAGGGUGAUCGGCCACACUGGAACUGAGACACGGUCCAGACUCCUACGGGAGGCAGCAGCC
This 265-nucleotide ribosomal RNA is filed under the name uncultured Staphylococcus sp. Its description in RNAcentral is "partial 16S ribosomal RNA". It matches the Rfam family "Bacterial small subunit ribosomal RNA", at positions 96 to 355 of the family's 1533-position model. Lineage: Bacteria; Bacillati; Bacillota; Bacilli; Caryophanales; Staphylococcaceae. The record is from RNAcentral.